AGGGCCACUUUGCUUUUGGCUGCCUCCUGCUGAGAUUGACCUUUACUUGAAAGUUGGUGCAACAAACUGCCAAGUGAUGCUAUCUGCCAUAAAAAUCCAAAUGAUGGGAUCUUGGAUCUUCAUUGAGACCAAGAAAUGGAAAUCCAGCACAUCAAAACAUUGUGUAGGCAUCUGACAAUCUGAAAAUAUAUGAAUGUCAGUAUUUAAAGAAAACCUUUGUGUCUCUUGAUUAGCAGUCAAUCUGAACUGAGAUAUAGAAAGAAGUGUCUCAGUGACUUUGUAUCUUCCAUUUGCAAGUAUGUGCUGUUUACAAGUCAAGUGCUGGUGAGGAAAAAAAAAUGAAAAUUAACUAUAAAUUGAAAUUCAGCCCCACAUAGGAGUUUAAGACUUUCUUGUCUUGAAGCAUAUUCUAAGGCAUUUCAAUUUACAGCUUGUAUGCUUUCUUUAUAAAGUCCUGGAUCCUUUAAAUUUGUUAUCAUGGUGUUUUCAUUUUAAGAUCUGUAUAAUCAGCAACAUCUUUGCUCUGUAAGGGGAAAGUAAAAUCUCAUUGCACCAGUGUCAUUUUUUGAUGUAGUUUUCUGGAACAAAAAAAGACCAAGCAUCAAGGAUGAAAUUAUGCUGUUGUUGAGCCUCUAAUUUUUCUAUGAAUGAAUUGAAAAGUAAGCAAAGGGUGAGGGGAAUGUGCCAUAUGCUCUUUUUCCAGAGCAGUGUGUCUUAACAACAUAUCAGAAGUCACCUUUAAAUGCUGACUACAAAGAAACCUCCAGUUGCUUAUUCUGCAGAGGCAAUUUUUGCUUUCUUUUUGCUGAGCUGUCAAAAGGAGAAUAUCUAAAAAUAAUUAUUUCUGCCAGUUGAGUAAUUAAUGAUGGCUCUAACUAAUGACAGUGUCAUUGAAUGGCAUUAGACAAGAUGAGUUAGAUAUUUAUUAAAUGGUAUUUCAGUGUUUCAAAGACUCAAUGAAUACCCCAUGAAGAGUGGUGAUGCUAAAUUAAGAAAAAAAUGUGCUUUUUUUAAACCUUUCAUGUCUACAAGAAAUGUGUGGUAAAUAUAAGCACUUCUCUAUGACAAUCAAUAAGUUAAUAGAUAUUACCUUGCUUUGCUAUUACAUAUUCCAUGCCUAAAGUUAUCACAGAAUGCAAAUUAAUGAAUAAUUAUUCUUGGUGGUAAAGUUAUCAUCGAGUGCAAAUUAAUGAAUAUGCGUUCUUAUUGAUAGCCUUAAGCUGUUUGUUCUGGAAUAUCUUAUGUACUAUAACUCUUUCAGGAAUCUCUGUUGUUUCCCUUUUCUCUACUUCCCUGGCUUGCAUCAAACUUGGCAGUAAUAAAGGAUAUAAGGCUUUUGUUUGUUAGCA
RNAcentral lists this long non-coding RNA (1349 nucleotides) under Oryctolagus cuniculus (rabbit). RNAcentral describes it as "lncRNA (ENSOCUG00000036925.1)". The record is from RNAcentral. Lineage: Eukaryota; Metazoa; Chordata; Mammalia; Lagomorpha; Leporidae.